RNAcentral lists this non-coding RNA (27 nucleotides) under Homo sapiens (human). Lineage: Eukaryota; Metazoa; Chordata; Mammalia; Primates; Hominidae. The record is from RNAcentral.
UCGCUGGAGCCGCCGAAGGCCAUGAGC